CUACGGGAUGCUGCAGUGGGGAAUAUUGGACAAUGGGCGCAAGCCUGAUCCUGCAAUGCCGCGUGAGUGAAGACGGCCUUAGGGUUGUAAAACUCUUUCGCUAGGGAAGAUAAUGACUGUACCUAGUAAAGAAGUCCCGGCUAACUCCGUGCCAGCAGCCGCGGUAAUACGGAGGGGACUAGCGUUGUUCGGAAUUACUGGGCGUAAAGAGUUCGUAGGCGGACUGACAAGUUAGAGGUGAAAUCCCAGGGCUCAACCCUGGAACUGCCUUUAAAACUGUCAGUCUAGAGACCGGAAGAGGUUAGGGGAAUACCUAGUGUAGAGGUGAAAUUCGUAGAUAUUAGGUGGAACACCAGUGGCGAAGGCGCCUAACUGGUCCGGUACUGACGCUGAGGAACGAAAGCGUGGGGAGCAAACAGGAUUAGAUACCCCAGUAGUC
Molecule: ribosomal RNA, 439 nt
Filed under: uncultured bacterium
Lineage: Bacteria
Description: partial 16S ribosomal RNA
Rfam family: Bacterial small subunit ribosomal RNA
Source: RNAcentral